UACAGAGGUCUCAAGCGUUGUUCGGAUUCAUUGGGCGUAAAGGGUGCGUAGGCGGCGCGGUAAGUCGGGUGUGAAAUCUUGGAGCUUAACUCCGAAACUGCAUUCGAUACUGCCGUGCUUGAGGACUGGAGAGGAGACUGGAAUUUACGGUGUAGUGGUGAAAUGCGUAGAUAUCGUAAGGAAGACCAGUGGCGAAGGCGGGUCUCUGGACAGUUCCUGACGCUGAGGCACGAAGGCCAGGGGAGCGAACGGG
This 253-nucleotide ribosomal RNA is filed under the name uncultured bacterium. RNAcentral describes it as "partial 16S ribosomal RNA". It matches the Rfam family "Bacterial small subunit ribosomal RNA", at positions 524 to 776 of the family's 1533-position model. The record is from RNAcentral.